GACGAACGCUGGCGGCGUGCUUAACACAUGCAAGUCGAACGGAAAGGCCUGCUUUCCCUUGUGGAUUGCGGGUACUCGAGUGGCGAACGGGUGAGUAACACGUGAGUGAUCUGGCCCCAACUUGGGUAUAAGCCUGGGAAACUGGGUCUAAUUCCCGAUAGGACUGCAGGGUGGUGCCUGUGGUUGAAAACGAUUUUCUAGUGGUUGGGGAUGAGCUCUCGGCCUAUCAGCUUGUUGGUGGGGUAAUGGCCUACCAAGGCGGCGACGGGUAGCCGGCCUGAGAGGGUGGACGGCGACAUUGGGACUGGGAUACGGCCCAGACUCCUACGGGAGGCAGCAGUGGGGAAUAUUGCACAAUGGGCGGAAGCCUGAUGCAGCGACGCCGCGUGGGGGAUGACGGCCUUCGGGUUGUAAACUCCUUUCGACCGCGAGGAAGCCACCUGGUUGGAAGGGUGGUGACGGUAGUGGUAGAAGAAGCACCGGCUAACUACGUG
RNAcentral lists this ribosomal RNA (494 nucleotides) under uncultured bacterium. RNAcentral describes it as "partial 16S ribosomal RNA". It matches the Rfam family "Bacterial small subunit ribosomal RNA", at positions 28 to 507 of the family's 1533-position model. The record is from RNAcentral.